Long non-coding RNA from Eptesicus fuscus (big brown bat), 368 nucleotides. RefSeq lists it as uncharacterized. The transcript has 4 exons. The record is from RefSeq and is a predicted model, not a curated record. NCBI's taxonomy places the organism in Eukaryota, Metazoa, Chordata, Mammalia, Chiroptera, Vespertilionidae.
GUGAGGGGAACCGCCGUCAUUUCGCAGGCAGCGGCAGCGGCACGGAGGGAAGCAUCUGCACCUGUAGAAAACAUGGGCUUUCUGAAUUGGGCUCUAUGAGGUGGGGAAGCCUCGGUGAAGGACAGGAGAGAGACGCCCAUCAUCAAGUGGCCAGUUGGAAGUUUUGGCCACACUGGAUACACACGCACUCCCACACGGACACUGAAGAGCUGCUGCUCCUUGAGAGUCCACCAGUCUCUGAGGAGAGGAUGCAAAUCCAACAGCCUGGAAUCCAGAGCCUUCUCCAGCAGGGUCAAGAGACCAACAGAAGGGAGUCCCUCUGCCUGAGGCAUUGUCUACACCCACAGGAUCCCACACUCUUAUUUGUU